GGGAUAGUAGCUUAGUCAGGUUCAAAGCAGCCAGCUCAUAACUGGUUCAUCGCGGGUUCAAAUCCUGCCUGUCCCACCA
This 79-nucleotide transfer RNA is filed under the name Caudoviricetes sp. RNAcentral describes it as "tRNA-Met". It matches the Rfam family "tRNA". From Rfam's summary of the family: Transfer RNA (tRNA) molecules are approximately 80 nucleotides in length. Their secondary structure includes four short double-helical elements and three loops (D, anti-codon, and T loops). Lineage: Duplodnaviria; Heunggongvirae; Uroviricota; Caudoviricetes. The record is from RNAcentral.